GCGUCAGAUUGAUAUACGUUACUCACAGUAACGUUUUAAAAGUAAAACGUUACUUACAGUGACGUAUAUCAACCUAAUAUUG
This 82-nucleotide microRNA precursor is filed under the name Solanum lycopersicum (tomato). Its description in RNAcentral is "miR10538 stem-loop (sly-MIR10538)". Lineage: Eukaryota; Viridiplantae; Streptophyta; Magnoliopsida; Solanales; Solanaceae. The record is from miRBase by way of RNAcentral.